Molecule: long non-coding RNA, 347 nt
Organism: Conger conger (European conger)
Lineage: Eukaryota; Metazoa; Chordata; Actinopteri; Anguilliformes; Congridae
Exons: 3
Source: RefSeq, a predicted model, not a curated record
CAGUCAGGCUGUUUUACUUACAUUUAGCAAAACACUGAGCCCUGAUCCACAAAGCACCAAACCUCUCUCCUGUCUGGUGCACCCAUGGCCUUCAGUACCUUGUUGGUAACCCUCUUGACUGUGUCAGGUGUUCUUGGCCAGAACGGAUGGGGAGUGACUUACACCCCUGAGAGAAUCUGUGCCUUAAAGGGGUCUUCAGUAGACAUGCACUGCACUUACUCAUAUCCAACAUCGCACACAGUGCAGAAAGCAUUCUGGUUUAUUAACUGGAGUUAUCCACAGGAGCCUGAAGACCUGUCCCUGGACCCAGAGUACUCUGGUCGUGUGAACUACCAUGGGAAUCUGAA